CGCCGAGGAUCCCGAGAAUCUUGCACCAAAACGCGCCCAACCUGGAGAGACGGGAGGAAAAAAUCCUUCCAGAAGAAUUUGCAGGCGUGGAUUGGGCAAAACCCCAGAUUCAACCAGAGACCAAGCCGCCCGCCCCUGACCUAGUGGGAUCCUCAGCCUUGGCUAAAGGUUUUUGUGGGCUUGGAGGCAGAUGCAGGCUGUGCCCUCCCUGCCUUCCCUGACCAGUGAUGGGACUCCCAGAGUCUGUGCUAAGACCAACUAGGGAUGGGGACGUGGGAAACCUCCCUCGCCUGUUAAAAUAAAACACCGACCCUUCCCUUCUCCUUCCCUUCCCCAGGGGAGGCAGCCUCCUGGCCUGGCUGCCAGGGAGGCAUCUGAGCACACAUAGGAUGCCAAGCCCUUCAGAAGCCGAUCCUGGUGCCAGCCAUGUGGGCAUGCACCUCCCCCAGAUCGGCUUGGCACCUCUGGCCCGGCUGCAAUGCUUUUUCCAUCCAGGCACCCAGCUGUGUGGCAGAGCCAUAAAGGAAACAGAACAAGAAGUUGCCCCUUAUCUGUAUAGUCAGAGACCAUAGAGUAUAUGUAGAUUUUAUCUGCAAUUGUAUAUUCUGCUCUAUCACCAUUUGCCUUAUGCACCUCACUGAAACUCAGAUGUGGGAUCAAAAGUUUAAAGUUUAAUCAUUUGCAUUUUUUCAUGAUUCUAAUAGAAUUUUUAACCCUGGCUUUAGGUGAUGUUUCUUCUUUGCUAAGAUCCAAGGGGAAGCGCUUGAGGUUGGAAGAAUCCUUUGGUCAAAGGGUUCCAUAUCCAAAAGAAUAACCAAGAAUCCAGACAGGAAAUGCCUUGAGGAGUCUUUGACCUUGAGCUGAUGGGACCAAGAGCC
Long non-coding RNA from Pipistrellus kuhlii (Kuhl's pipistrelle), 878 nucleotides. RefSeq lists it as uncharacterized. NCBI's taxonomy places the organism in Eukaryota, Metazoa, Chordata, Mammalia, Chiroptera, Vespertilionidae. The transcript is spliced from 3 exons. The record is from RefSeq and is a predicted model, not a curated record.